GCCACCACAUGCGCCUUGAUCUUGAGUGGCGCAACUAACGCAUUACCUUAUCCGCCUGGGGAGUACGGCCGCAAGAUUAAAACUCAAAGGAAUUGACGGAAACUCACAUGAUUCGAAGGCACUGCGCGUGAAUAGUGUGUAAGUGGUUUGAUUAGUCAGAUGUUAAAUCUACUGGCUCAACUUGUAGCUCGCAUCUGAAACUGCAAGACUUGAGGGCAGAAGAGGUAAGUGGAAUUCAUGGUGUAGCGGUUAUAUGCGUAGAUCUCAUGAGGAACACCAAUGGCGAAGGCAGCUUACUGGGCUGUACCUGACACUGAGACACGAAAGCGUGGGGAGCGAACGGGAUUAGAUACCCCGGUAGUCCACGCCGUAAACGAUGCCUACUAGCUGUCCGAAGUUCGACCCUUCGAGUAGCGAAGCUAACACGUUAAAUAAGCCGCCUGGGGGAGUACGAUCGCAAGAUUAAAACUCAAA
RNAcentral lists this ribosomal RNA (474 nucleotides) under uncultured prokaryote. RNAcentral describes it as "bacterial SSU rRNA". The stretch from base 81 to 474 matches the Rfam family "Bacterial small subunit ribosomal RNA", at positions 1 to 905 of the family's 1533-position model. The record is from RNAcentral.